GCUUGGUGCGCCGCAGGCCGGCUGCUGCCAUAAAUCUCCGCGCCGGCCCUGCUUCCUGCUGUUUAUGCGCGGGUAUUCCGGGCUGGCCUCGCAUCCCGCGCCAAGCCAAGCGCCUUGCUCUCCUGGUCACGGCCUGGAGGCCCCGACUCAACGUAGGGAAUCAUGCCAGAAUUUCCCCAUUCGCCAGAGAGGGAACGGCCCCCCUCCCACUCAGUGCCACCACCAUCCAUCACCAGAGUUUCGGACCCCAAGGUGGCCCGAGCUUCACCGAUCAUCUUUGGGGUGGGGACCCCCCCUCCCGGCCUGACACUUCCUCCUAUGAAGGUUCGGUUACCCUCCUAUGAAGGAUGGGUGCACGGACCGCCUGCAGUCGUUGAGGAGCAAGAACAGGGCCAAGGACUGAGCGAUUUCUCAGCUCAGGCGACCACCCACCUCCUCGGACCCUGCUUAGUCCUGCACCCCGGGAUCCCUCUGCGGGCGCUAGAGGGGCCUGGGGGCAGCGGGGAGCUUGAGAUGAGCCGGAUGACUGCAGGCGCGGUGUCGGAGACCUAUCGGGUUCCCAACCCCGCGCCAUGCCACCCCCUGCCGAGGAUACCCCUUUUCAGCCUUGGUGCAAAUAGACCUUGGAGAAAGCAGGAAUCGGUCGUUUGCGCUGGUGGCAGCCUGAGGGGCAAGGAACAGGCCUUUCCACGGGUGCCCGACAUCAACCGAGCAAUCCGGUCGCGCGACAGAGCCCGACCACCACCGAAGAGGCUUUGGGGGCUUUUGGUGGGGACAAUCGUGGAGAGAAAAGCAUUCAUCCCCGCCUUGGUGCCCCCCCCAAAGUCUCACGGUGACAGUGACAUGACCCCAAAAAGCGAUGGCAAAGGGGGAGGCGGUUGGAAACCUGGCUCUGAGGUUGCCCUCACCCAAGGAGCUCCGGCUUCUUCCUAGAAUUUCUAGAAGCACUUUCGGAGGGACUGAAGGCUUCCGGCCCGACGCAGAGGAAUUUGAGCCUCGCCCCGGCGGCAGCCUGGGAGCGGAGAGGCUGCAGAGCCACAUUCCGCCCCAGCCGCCCCUGCUAGGCCCCAGGAAGCGCCGCGGAAAACAAAGCGCUGCGGUUUCAGCCCAAGGUUAAAGUCCACCGCGAGCGUUUCCCCCCCCUCUCCGGAAUCUGAGAGCGAUAGCGUUUCUCCAAAUAAACCGCCAAUAAAUCAGCUCCUGGGGCCGCCU
Molecule: long non-coding RNA, 1212 nt
Filed under: Marmota marmota marmota (Alpine marmot)
Lineage: Eukaryota; Metazoa; Chordata; Mammalia; Rodentia; Sciuridae
Description: lncRNA (ENSMMMG00000007501.1)
Source: RNAcentral